Molecule: non-coding RNA, 88 nt
Organism: Cordylochernes scorpioides
Lineage: Eukaryota; Metazoa; Arthropoda; Arachnida; Pseudoscorpiones; Chernetidae
Source: the annotation of a GenBank genome assembly
AUCCCUCAAGCCGGAUUUGAACCAGCGACCUAAGGAUAACUGCUCAUACAUCUACAGUACUCCGCUCUGCCAACUGAGCUAAUAAGGA